RNAcentral lists this ribosomal RNA (253 nucleotides) under uncultured bacterium. Its description in RNAcentral is "partial 16S ribosomal RNA". It matches the Rfam family "Bacterial small subunit ribosomal RNA", at positions 524 to 776 of the family's 1533-position model. The record is from RNAcentral.
UACGUAGGGGGCAAGCGUUGUCCGGAAUUAUUGGGCGUAAAGAGCUCGUAGGCGGCUUGUCGCGUCGUCCGUGAAAACUUGGGGCUCAACUCCAAGCUUGCGGUCGAUACGGGCAGGCUCGAGUUCGGUAGGGGAGACUGGAAUUCCUGGUGUAGCGGUGAAAUGCGCAGAUAUCAGGAGGAACACCGGUGGCGAAGGCGGGUCUCUGGGCCGAUACUGACGCUGAGGAGCGAAAGCGUGGGGAGCGAACAGG